Long non-coding RNA from Oncorhynchus keta (chum salmon), 1228 nucleotides. RefSeq lists it as uncharacterized. NCBI's taxonomy places the organism in Eukaryota, Metazoa, Chordata, Actinopteri, Salmoniformes, Salmonidae. The transcript is spliced from 5 exons. The record is from RefSeq and is a predicted model, not a curated record.
UUUAUACAGGAAGUACCAGUACUGAGUCAAUGUGCAGGGGUACGAGGUAAUAACAUGGCUUUAUACACACUGUACCAGUACUGAGUCAAUGUGCAGGGGUACGAGGUAAUAACAUGGCUUUAUACAGGAAGUACCAGUACUGAGUCAAUGUGCAGGGGUACGAGGUAAUAACAUGGCUUUAUACACACUGUACCAGUACUGAGUCAAUGUGCAGGGGUACGAGGUAAUAACAUGGCUUUAUACACACUGUACCAGUACUGAGUCAAUGUGCAGGGGUACGAGGUAAUAACAUGGCUUUAUACACACUGUACCAGUACUGAGUCAAUGUGCAGGGGUACGAGGUAAUAACAUGGCUUUAUACACACUGUACCAGUACUGAGUCAAUGUGCAGGGGUACGAGGUAAUAACAUGGCUUUAUACACACUGUACCAGUACUGAGUCAAUGUGCAGGGGUACGAGGUAACAACAUGGCUUUAUACAGGAAGUAUCACUUCUAAGUUGAUGCACAGGGGUACGAGGUAAUUGAGGUAGAUAUGAACAUAUAACUAGGAUUAAGGCAUUAGGAUAGAUAAUAACCAGUAGAUAGUAGAGUUGAUAACCAAACCGUAUAAUUGCCUCGAAACUGAACCGAAACUAAUUUUACACAUAUAAACAAAAUGAAAUAAAUGAAGGGGAUGAUGACGAUGGGGGAGAAAGGGUGAGUUGAUGCCUCAGGGGAAGCAAACAAUGCAUAAUUAUCACUAAUUGUGAAGGAAAAACAUGGUGUGCCAUUCUAUUAUAAUGAUCCAUUGACAUUAUAAUCUCUACAUGCUAUGUACCCUCUAUCAGACCACCAAAUACAGUCUUAUAGUCGUAUGGUUUUGGUGGUGCACACGCCCCCCACCAGACGAAACCUUGAGACAGGAGAGAAGAACGGACUGUUUUUGUCCGAUUAUCAGCACAACAUGUCAUCACUGAGAGCGCAGGCUCAAGCAAAAUCAGCAACGCACAAGCUUUCGUUGUUUAUGCUCCAACAGAUAACGGACUAUUUUUGACUGCGGUCAUAGCGACACGCUUGUAAUGAUGUUUAGGCUACUGAUGUGUUUUAUCAUUUGACUGGGCGUCUUGCUGACCGCGGGUCUUUGUGUGUCGGUGCGUUUUGUUUAGUGUCGUUAUAGAAGGAAGCUGUUGUGUUAUAAAAGGAAGCAGUUGUAGCGUUCCAACACAAACCCUUUUCUCUUUCACAGUU